Molecule: ribosomal RNA, 545 nt
Filed under: Shewanella sp. 18III/A01/080
Lineage: Bacteria; Pseudomonadati; Pseudomonadota; Gammaproteobacteria; Alteromonadales; Shewanellaceae
Description: bacterial SSU rRNA
Rfam family: Bacterial small subunit ribosomal RNA
Source: RNAcentral
CAGCAGUGGGGAAUAUUGCACAAUGGGGGAAACCCCUGAUGCAGCCAUGCCGCGUGUGUGAAGAAGGCCUUCGGGUUGUAAAGCACUUUCAGUAGGGAGGAAAGGGUGUAAGUUUAAUACGCUAUAUCUGUGACGUUACCUACAGAAGAAGGACCGGCUAACUCCGUGCCAGCAGCCGCGGUAAUACGGAGGGUCCGAGCGUUAAUCGGAAUUACUGGGCGUAAAGCGUGCGCAGGCGGUUUGUUAAGCGAGAUGUGAAAGCCCUGGGCUCAACCUAGGAAUAGCAUUUCGAACUGGCGAACUAGAGUCUUGUAGAGGGGGGUAGAAUUCCAGGUGUAGCGGUGAAAUGCGUAGAGAUCUGGAGGAAUACCGGUGGCGAAGGCGGCCCCCUGGACAAAGACUGACGCUCAUGCACGAAAGCGUGGGGAGCAAACAGGAUUAGAUACCCUGGUAGUCCACGCCGUAAACGAUGUCUACUCGGAGUUUGGUGUCUUGAACACUGGGCUCUCAAGCUAACGCAUUAAGUAGACCGCCUGGGGAGUACG